This 75-nucleotide transfer RNA is filed under the name Sphaerodactylus townsendi. Its description in RNAcentral is "tRNA-Ala". It matches the Rfam family "tRNA". From Rfam's summary of the family: Transfer RNA (tRNA) molecules are approximately 80 nucleotides in length. Their secondary structure includes four short double-helical elements and three loops (D, anti-codon, and T loops). Lineage: Eukaryota; Metazoa; Chordata; Lepidosauria; Squamata; Sphaerodactylidae. The record is from RNAcentral.
GGAAGGGCCAUGACUCAGUGGUAAAGAAUAUGCUUCGCAUGCAAAAGAUCCCAGGUUCAACUCCUGGCAUUUCCA